RNAcentral lists this ribosomal RNA (254 nucleotides) under uncultured bacterium. RNAcentral describes it as "partial 16S ribosomal RNA". It matches the Rfam family "Bacterial small subunit ribosomal RNA", at positions 524 to 776 of the family's 1533-position model. The record is from RNAcentral.
UACGUAGGCAGCAAGCGUUGUUCGGAGUUACUGGGCGUAAAGGGUGUGUAGGCGGUUGUUUAAGUUUGGUGUGAAAUCUCCCGGCUCAACUGGGAGAGUGCGCCGAAUACUGAAUGACUUCGAGUGCGGGAGAGGAAAGUGGAAUUCCUGGUGUAGCGGUGAAAUGCGUAGAUAUCAGGAGGAACACCGGUGGUGUAGACGGCUUUCUGGACCGUAACUGACGCUGAGACACGAAAGCGUGGGUAGCAAACAGG